This 400-nucleotide ribosomal RNA is filed under the name uncultured bacterium. RNAcentral describes it as "bacterial SSU rRNA". It matches the Rfam family "Bacterial small subunit ribosomal RNA", at positions 355 to 747 of the family's 1533-position model. The record is from RNAcentral.
UGGGGAAUUUUGGACAAUGGGGGAAACCCUGAUCCAGCAAUGCCGCGUGUGUGAAGAAGGCCCUCGGGUUGUAAAGCACUUUUGGCAGGAAAGAAAAGGCGCUGGCUAAUAUCCAGCGCUGAUGACGGUACCUGCAGAAUAAGCACCGGCUAACUACGUGCCAGCAGCCGCGGUAAUACGUAGGGUGCAAGCGUUAAUCGGAAUUACUGGGCGUAAAGCGUGCGCAGGCGGUUAUGUAAGUCUGACGUGAAAUCCCCGGGCUCAACCUGGGAAUGGCGUUGGAGACUGCAUAGCUGGAGUCUGGCAGAGGGGGGUAGAAUUCCACGUGUAGCAGUGAAAUGCGUAGAGAUGUGGAGGAAUACCGAUGGCGAAGGCAGCCCCCUGGGCUAAGACUGACGCU